This 381-nucleotide long non-coding RNA is filed under the name Bos taurus (domestic cattle). Its description in RNAcentral is "long non-coding RNA NONBTAT023712". The record is from RNAcentral. Lineage: Eukaryota; Metazoa; Chordata; Mammalia; Artiodactyla; Bovidae.
UUUUAAACUGGCUUGCAGCCUUUAUAAAAAUAUAUGCACAUCUUCAUGCUUCAAAAAAGAAACUUAUCCAAUGCAUAACUUGGUAAUAGUUUUUGUAAUUGUUGUUAAUUGUUCUGUUCAAAAUGCUUUAAAAUAAUAAUUACGUAUAUUAACUUAAAAGUAUUAGGCGUAAUUAAUACUUAUACAUUUUUAUUUAGAGCAUAGCAUUAAGAAGGUGUGGAAAUAAAAAUGGAAAAGUAAAAUUUAUAAAUUACAAUACUUGAUGCCAAACAAUGAAGAAUAUUAAAGGAAUGUGAUGCCUGAUUUCAAAGUUUAAGUUUAAACUCAGGAUAGUUCACAAAAUAUUGAAAAUAUUGAUUAGAAAUAAGAAAUUUUGGGGUG